AACGCACCUUGCGCUCUUUGGUAUUCCGAAGAGCAUGCCUGUUUGAGUGUCAUGAAAAUAUCAACCUUGACUUGGGCUUUGUGCACAAGUCCUAGGCUUGGAUGUGGGUGCUUGCCGCUUUAACGCGCGGCUCACCUUAAAUGUAUUAGCUGGAUCAGUCUUUGAGACUUGGUUUGACUUGGCGUAAUAAGUAUUUCGCUAAGGACAUUCUUCGGGAUGGCCUCGUUUCUGGGACACCUGUCCGCUUUCCAAUACAAGUUCCAGAAAUGGACAUGACUUUUUUUUUAAUCAUCUGGCCUCAAAUCAGGUAGGACUACCCGCUGAACUUAA
RNAcentral lists this unclassified non-coding RNA (330 nucleotides) under uncultured Tremellomycetes. RNAcentral's name for it is "sequence contains ITS2". The stretch from base 1 to 52 matches the Rfam family "5.8S ribosomal RNA", at positions 103 to 154 of the family's 154-position model. The record is from RNAcentral. Lineage: Eukaryota; Fungi; Basidiomycota; Tremellomycetes.